AACGAACGCUGGCGGCAUGCCUAACACAUGCAAGUCGAACGAGACCUUCGGGUCUAGUGGCGCACGGGUGCGUAAGGCGUGGGAACCUGCCCUUAGGUUCGGAAUAACUCCCCGAAAGGGGUGCUAAUACCGGAUAAUGUCUUCGGACCAAAGAUUUAUCGCCUUUGGAUGGGCAUGCGUUGGGUUAGGUAGUUGGUAGGGUAAAAGCCUGCCAAGGCGACGAUCCAUAGCUGGCCUGAGAGGAUGAUCAGCCACACUGGGACUGAGACACGGCCCAGACUCCUACGGGAGGCAGCAGUGGGGAAUAUUGGACCAUGGGCGAGAGCCUGAUCCAGCAAUGCCGCGUGAGUGAUGAAGGCCUUAGGGUUGUAAAGCUCUUUUACCCGGGAUGAUAAUGACGGUACCGGGAGAAUAAGCUCCGGCUAACUCCGUG
Molecule: ribosomal RNA, 433 nt
Filed under: uncultured bacterium
Lineage: Bacteria
Description: partial 16S ribosomal RNA
Rfam family: Bacterial small subunit ribosomal RNA
Source: RNAcentral